Molecule: transfer RNA, 72 nt
Organism: Camelus ferus (Wild Bactrian camel)
Lineage: Eukaryota; Metazoa; Chordata; Mammalia; Artiodactyla; Camelidae
Rfam family: tRNA
About the family: Transfer RNA (tRNA) molecules are approximately 80 nucleotides in length. Their secondary structure includes four short double-helical elements and three loops (D, anti-codon, and T loops). Further hydrogen bonds mediate the characteristic L-shaped molecular structure. tRNAs have two regions of fundamental functional importance: the anti-codon, which is responsible for specific mRNA codon recognition, and the 3' end, to which the tRNAs corresponding amino acid is attached (by aminoacyl-tRNA synthetases). tRNAs cope with the degeneracy of the genetic code in two manners: having more than one tRNA (with a specific anti-codon) for a particular amino acid; and 'wobble' base-pairing, i.e. permitting non-standard base-pairing at the 3rd anti-codon position.
Source: Rfam
GAGGGUAUAGCUCCGUGGUAGAACGCUUGCUUAGCAUGCAUGAGGUCCUGGGUUCGAUCCCCAGUACCUCCU